This 475-nucleotide ribosomal RNA is filed under the name uncultured bacterium. RNAcentral describes it as "bacterial SSU rRNA". It matches the Rfam family "Bacterial small subunit ribosomal RNA", at positions 915 to 1391 of the family's 1533-position model. The record is from RNAcentral.
GGGGGCCCGCAAGCGGUGGAGCAUGUGGUUCAAUUCGACGCAACGCGAAGAACCUUACCUGGGCUCGAACGGCUUUGGAUCGACGGUGGAAACACUGUUUUCCCGCAAGGGACCGGAGUCGAGGUGCUGCAUGGCUGUCGUCAGCUCGUGUCGUGAGAUGUUGGGUUAAGUCCCGCAACGAGCGCAACCCUUGUCCUGUGUUGCCACUCCGUAAGGAAGCACUCUCAGGAGACCGCCAGCGAUAAGUUGGAGGAAGGUGGGGAUGAUGUCAAGUCAUCAUGGCCUUUAUGUCCAGGGCUACACACGUGCUACAAUGGUCGGUACAAACCGUCGCAAAGCUGCAAAGUGGAGCUAAUCGGAAAAAGCCGGCCUCAGUUCGGAUUGGAGUCUGCAACUCGACUCCAUGAAGCUGGAAUCGCUAGUAAUCGCAGAUCAGAACGCUGCGGUGAAUACGUUCCCGGGCCUUGUACACACC